Molecule: long non-coding RNA, 676 nt
Organism: Dromaius novaehollandiae (emu)
Lineage: Eukaryota; Metazoa; Chordata; Aves; Casuariiformes; Dromaiidae
Exons: 3
Source: RefSeq, a predicted model, not a curated record
GCAGGACACCCACGCGCACGCCGCCGCUCGCAGCUGACCUCGCCAACAAAAACACGUCCCGAAGAGCAAAAAUUCGCCGUGAAUGAGGAAAUGCACAACACGCACCCGAAACACGAGGGCCAUGCCCAUGUCCCGGCACGGCUGUGGCGGCCAAGCCCUGAGAGUCUGAAUUAAAAAAACAAGCACAGAAAAAACAGAAAGGUUCUGUGCACACUCCCAUCGCUGAGGAAAGCCUCUGUUAAGACUGGAAGUGCUAAGAUAUUGUGAGCAUACAGCUCAUAUACCAGGACGAGUAAGCAUGGAAAUUCUCCAAAGAAAACUCCUACUUGUGAAGUUGAGAUAGGUUGCCAUCGGGAGCUGAUGCUCUACCAAACAGAUUUUUUUCCUUCGGGCUGUAGUACACAAAAACAUUCUCAGUCAAUUUCGAAAAUCCUGACGAAGGAGAGCGUGACCAGCAUUGCCUCCAAAUUUCCACCAGUAUCAAUGGAACUGAGUAAAUGGACGUCGCAGUGGCUAACACCAAUCGGAGGAAGGCCAGAAAUGCAGGACACAACAGAGAAUGAUACAACAGCUGAAUUCCUAUCACUAAUAACGCAGAGAAGAUACUUUACAUAAAAGUAAUGAAUAAAGCAACUGGUUCCACUUUUAAAUAGGGGUAAAAGUCAGCCUUACAUUU